GCCACAAUAAUACAACUGGUGAGUAUUCUCGUCUGUCACACAGGUGACCCGGGUUCCAUCCCGGCAAUGGCA
RNAcentral lists this transfer RNA (72 nucleotides) under Ipomoea nil (Japanese morning glory). It matches the Rfam family "tRNA". From Rfam's summary of the family: Transfer RNA (tRNA) molecules are approximately 80 nucleotides in length. Their secondary structure includes four short double-helical elements and three loops (D, anti-codon, and T loops). Further hydrogen bonds mediate the characteristic L-shaped molecular structure. tRNAs have two regions of fundamental functional importance: the anti-codon, which is responsible for specific mRNA codon recognition, and the 3' end, to which the tRNAs corresponding amino acid is attached (by aminoacyl-tRNA synthetases). tRNAs cope with the degeneracy of the genetic code in two manners: having more than one tRNA (with a specific anti-codon) for a particular amino acid; and 'wobble' base-pairing, i.e. permitting non-standard base-pairing at the 3rd anti-codon position. Lineage: Eukaryota; Viridiplantae; Streptophyta; Magnoliopsida; Solanales; Convolvulaceae. The record is from Rfam by way of RNAcentral.